GUUCAGAUCUGGUUCAGAGCAGGAGAACUGGAUGAAAAUCUGUUAAAAACAAAUGAAUCUGAAGUUGAAGUACAAUUCACCGAGGUGGUUAUGGCAAAACGUGUUUCCCAGGCUGAUAACAUCAUGAGAAACCACCUCAACAUUAGUGGUGGCUAAGAGUUGUCAGCUGUCAAGAGGCACUGAGAUGUUACAGAAAACCAUUUGCCCAAGUGUUGUGGCCUGAAGACAUGGUCAAAAGCAGAUGACAUUUCAUUGGCUCUUCACACAAUCCUGAAACAUCUUGACAGUAAAUGUGCAUACAUACAGCAGGAUGCUCUGCAUUGACAACAGCUUAGCAUUCAAUACUAUCUUCUCCUCAAAACUAAUUAAUAACCUCCAAGACCUAGGCUUCAAUGCUUCCUUAUACAACUGGAUCAUCGAUUUCCUCACUUGCGGACCCUACUCAGUUCAGAUUGGCAGCAACCUCUCCAAAAUCGUUCUCAGCACAGGUGCACCACAAGGCAAUGUGCUCAGCCCCCUGCUCUACUCGCUUUAUAUUCAUGUCUGUGAGGCUAAGCACAGCUCCAAAGCCUUAUUUAAGUUUGCUGGUGACACCGCUGUCACAGGCCGAAUCAAAGGUGGUGACAAAUCAGCAAAGAGGAGGGAGGUUGAAAAUCUGACUGAGUGGUGCCACAAGAACAACCUCUCACUCAAUAGCAAUGAGAUCAAGGAGCUGAUUAUUGACUACAGAAGGAGGAAACAGGAUGUCCAUGAGCCACUCUUCACUGGGGGAUCCGAUGUGGAGAGGGUCAGCAACUGCAUAAUUCCUCGGCAUUGUCGUUUCAGAGGAUCUGUCUUGUGUUCAGCAUGUACAGUAAGUGCCAUUACAAAGAAAGCACAGCAGCGCCUCUUCUUUCUUAGAAGUUUGCAAGGAUUCAUUACCUCAUCUAAAACAUUGACAAAUUCUGUACAGGUCAGUAAUAGCAUCUCCUCACUGAAAAUCAACCAGGUACAUCUUUAGGAUGCAUACUUAGCUGACUGC
Mobula hypostoma (lesser devil ray) is the source of this 1021-nucleotide long non-coding RNA. RefSeq lists it as uncharacterized. Lineage: Eukaryota; Metazoa; Chordata; Chondrichthyes; Myliobatiformes; Myliobatidae. The transcript has 4 exons. The record is from RefSeq and is a predicted model, not a curated record.